CAAACCAAGGUACUACUGUGCAAGAUUCCAGGUGCAUACCCGGGAUUCUUGUUUCCUUUUGAAAAUGAGGCACAACAGAGACUGUGGUGUCAUUAUGGCAUAUGGUUUAUUUACACAUAUAGACAACCUGAGCCUAUGAUGGAGGGGCUCCAAGAGGGUCUUGUUUCUCUCAUAGUUGCAGCCUUGGUUUCAAACAGGAAUCAAACAUUGUGCUCCGCUUCUCUGGCUUUCCAGCUUGCAGGGUUUUUUGUUGUCGCAUCCAGCUGCUAGCUCACAUAACCCAUAACCCUCUAAGCCCUAGUUCUUCACAUUGCUCUCUGACUCUCUCUCUCUCUAUAGGUCACAUCACUGAUUCCCUAAACUCUUGCUUUAUCUGUUGAUCCCUUGACCCUUUGUUCUCUUAAUGGCUCCAUCUUCCAGGUGAUUAAUGGCUCCAUCUCCCAGGUGAUUACCAUAACAUAGGAAGGUUGUUGUUUGUUGUUGUUGUUUAGUCAUGUCCAACUCUUCAUGACCCCGUGUACCAGAGCACACCAGGCACUCCUAUCUUCCACUGCCUCCCGCAGUUUGGUCAAACUCAAAUUAGUAGCUUCGAGAACACUGUCCAACCAUCUCAUCCUCUGUCAUCCCCUUCUCCUUGUGCCCUCCAUCUUUCCCAACAUCAGGGUCUUUUCCAGGGAGUCUUCUAUUCUCAUGAAGUGGCCAAAGUAUUGCAGCCUCAGCUUCAGGAACUCUCCUUCCAAAUAGGAAGGUAGCCUGACUUCCGCUUUUACCACAGCUGCAACAGUGUGAGCUCUGACUGCAGUAAGCAGGUCGGGGCGUACACUAGUACUGUGAGGGGCAACGUUUGGCUAAACGACCCCUGAAAAGGCUUGGAAGGAAGCUCAAGUCAAAGGAACUUCGGCAGUGUCUUUUUGGAGUCCCGGCACCCCUCGCCAAAAGAAGGUGGGGGGGAAUCCAGGCACAGAGAAGAACAUCAAACAGACCGGUGAAAAGCCUCACAUCACUGAAGCAGCGACAAGAUGGUAAAAUCUCUAUUUCUAUAUUAAAAUAAAUGUAAAGUGGUAGCAGCAGCAAUAAAACCUAAAAGGAAAUAAGACAAGGGGGGGGAAGGGAACUCAGGGGGGGAAUCCCUCACGGAGCGAGUAAACCCAAAACAAGAUAAAGAGUAAAAGUAGCGGAGAAGUAAUGCUACCACAAAAGUAAAGGGAAGACAGAAGAACAGAAAAAAUAUGGAGAGUGUGUGAAGAAAUCACUCAGAUUGCAAUUAAACUAUUUGAAAGGCACACUAUCUGAAACGGACUUACUACAAAGUGCAAAGCGGUGCAGGCUGCUUGUUGUUGGAGCUGGGUGGAGUAAAGCAGCUGCUUUGAAACUGAAUGUCCUUGAAGGAAAGAUAAGGACAAAGGAAUAAGGGAUGCUGUGGGGGAAAGGAGGGGAAUUUAACAGAUAAGAUAAGAUGGUGUCGAGGAUCUGAAGACGCUGAGUAAUCAUCAAGAAGGAGGAAGAAGGAGGAAGUGACGAAGACAAAAUAGUGAAAGAGAGGAUUAAAGGAGGGCAGAAGCUGGCAAGCUGAGUAAAUAAGAACACAGUGACACCCAGUGGACAAAGUAGGAAAAGCAGUAAUAAAGGAAAAUUGAAACAAUAGAAGGACAUCUGGUGGUUGAAAAAGAGAACGCAAAAUGUCUCAUGCAAUUAAAAAACAAACGACUGGAACUGGAAGUCAACAGCAACAAUUAAGAAGAAACUCAGGCCUUGAAGAAAUGAUUUGAGGGAGCUUAUUAUUAGUUUGAAAUUGGACGUGGGAGGAUUGAGAAGAGAGUUGGAAGAAAAAAUCAAUACAAUUGAUGGGAAAUUAG
RNAcentral lists this long non-coding RNA (1856 nucleotides) under Podarcis lilfordi (Lilford's wall lizard). Lineage: Eukaryota; Metazoa; Chordata; Lepidosauria; Squamata; Lacertidae. The record is from RNAcentral.